AGGAUGAACGCUGGCGGCGUGCCUAACACAUGCAAGUCGAACGUCCUGUCUCGCAAGAGGCAGGGAGUGGCGGACGGGUGAGUACCACGUGGGUCAUCUACCGUGAGGUGAGGAAUACCGGCGAGAAAUCGCCGACAAGACCGCAUAGGCUCGAUGCAAGUCGAGCAAAGCUCUUUCGAGAGAGGGAGCGCCACACGAGGAGCCUGCGCCCGAUUAGCUAGCUGGUGGAGUAACGGUUCACCAGGGCGACGAUCGGUAGCUGGUCUGAGAGGACGAUCAGCCACACUGGGAUUGAGAACGGCCCAGACUCCUACGGGGGGCAGCAGUGAGGAAUUUUCGUCAAUGGGGGCAACCCUGAACGAGCAACGCCGCGUGCAGGAAGAGGUUUCGGAUCGUAAACUGCUUUUCUCGGGGAAGAGAACGGACGGUACCCGAGGAAUCAGCCCGGCUAACUACGCGCCAGCAGCCGCGGU
This 473-nucleotide ribosomal RNA is filed under the name uncultured bacterium. RNAcentral's name for it is "SSU rRNA". It matches the Rfam family "Bacterial small subunit ribosomal RNA", at positions 26 to 521 of the family's 1533-position model. The record is from RNAcentral.